This 561-nucleotide ribosomal RNA is filed under the name actinobacterium WH009138s. Its description in RNAcentral is "bacterial SSU rRNA". It matches the Rfam family "Bacterial small subunit ribosomal RNA", at positions 188 to 763 of the family's 1533-position model. Lineage: Bacteria; Bacillati; Actinomycetota; Actinomycetes. The record is from RNAcentral.
GCAUGGUGGGUGUUGGAAAGAUUUAUCGGUUUUGGAUGGACUCGCGGCCUAUCAGCUUGUUGGUGAGGUAAUGGCUCACCAAGGCGACGACGGGUAGCCGGCCUGAGAGGGUGACCGGCCACACUGGGACUGAGACACGGCCCAGACUCCUACGGGAGGCAGCAGUGGGGAAUAUUGCACAAUGGGCGAAAGCCUGAUGCAGCGACGCCGCGUGAGGGAUGACGGCCUUCGGGUUGUAAACCUCUUUCAGUAGGGAAGAAGCGAAAGUGACGGUACCUGCAGAAGAAGCACCGGCUAACUACGUGCCAGCAGCCGCGGUAAUACGUAGGGUGCGAGCGUUAUCCGGAAUUAUUGGGCGUAAAGAGCUCGUAGGCGGUUUGUCGCGUCUGUCGUGAAAGUCCGGGGCUUAACCCCGGAUCUGCGGUGGGUACGGGCAGACUAGAGUGCAGUAGGGGAGACUGGAAUUCCUGGUGUAGCGGUGGAAUGCGCAGAUAUCAGGAGGAACACCGAUGGCGAAGGCAGGUCUCUGGGCUGUAACUGACGCUGAGGAGCGAAAGCAUG